GCUCCCGGGUCGCAGCAAAGCGGGGGUAGCGACUGUUUACCAAAAACACAGGCUUCUGCUAAGUCGAAAGACGACGUAUAGGAGCUGACUCCUGCCCGGUGCCGGAAGGUUAAGGGGACUGCUCAGCGUAAGCGAAGGCAUGAACCGAAGCCCCGGUAAACGGCGGCCGUAACAAUAACGGUCCUAAGGUAGCGAAAUUCCUUGGCGGGUAAGUUCCGUCCUGCACGAAUGGAGUAACGACUUCCCCACUGUCUCCACCAGAGACUCAGCGAAAAUUGAACUCGCGGUGAAGAUACCGCGUUCCCGCGGAGGGACGGAAAGACCCCAUGAACCUUCACUGCAACUUGGCCCUGACACUCGGGAUUUAUUGCGUAGGAUAGGUGGGAGGCUUUGAACCUGGGAUUCUGGUUCCGGGGGAGCCAAUCUUGAAAUACCACCUGUGGAUUCUGGGUGUCUAACCUAGACCCGUAAAACCGGGUCAGGAACACGGUCUGGUGGGCAGUUUGACUGGGCGGUCGCCUCCCAAAAGGUAACGGAGGCGCGCGAAAGGUUCCCUCAGCCUGAUUGG
This 568-nucleotide ribosomal RNA is filed under the name uncultured bacterium. RNAcentral describes it as "bacterial LSU rRNA". It matches the Rfam family "Bacterial large subunit ribosomal RNA", at positions 1768 to 2334 of the family's 2925-position model. The record is from RNAcentral.